CACAGACCAAAGUUGUGAGCUGUUGAAAUAUUUAGAAACAAAUUUAAAUUUUAUUUUAUUUUAUCUUGGAAAUCUCAGUUGUUUCCGGGUCCCAUCUUAUUGAAACAGGAUUGUGAAUUUUCCAAGCUAAUAGUGUGUGUCUGAAAUAGAAACUGAGAACGAGAAUGUGUGUUUCCAUGGUGGUAAUACCCUAGUGCAACUAAUUAAAAGGGAGGAGAGGGUCAACUUAUUCUCCAAAGCACCUGAGGACAAAACCAGAAGCAAU
Ahaetulla prasina is the source of this 265-nucleotide long non-coding RNA. RefSeq lists it as uncharacterized. The transcript is spliced from 3 exons. The record is from RefSeq and is a predicted model, not a curated record. NCBI's taxonomy places the organism in Eukaryota, Metazoa, Chordata, Lepidosauria, Squamata, Colubridae.